This 490-nucleotide ribosomal RNA is filed under the name uncultured bacterium. Its description in RNAcentral is "partial 16S ribosomal RNA". It matches the Rfam family "Bacterial small subunit ribosomal RNA", at positions 30 to 507 of the family's 1533-position model. The record is from RNAcentral.
AUUGAACGCUGGCGGCAUGCUUUACACAUGCAAGUCGAACGGCAGCACGAAAGAGCUUGCUCUUUUGGUGGCGAGUGGCGAACGGGUGAGUAAUGCAUCGGAACGUACCGAGUAAUGGGGGAUAACUGUCCGAAAGGAUAGCUAAUACCGCAUACGCUUUGAGAAGGAAAGUGGGGGCUCUUCGGACCUCACGUUAUUCGAUCGGCCGAUGUCUGAUUAGCUAGUUGGUGGGGUAAAGGCCUACCAAGGCGACGAUCAGUAGCGGGUCUGAGAGGAUGAUCCGCCACACUGGGACUGAGACACGGCCCAGACUCCUACGGGAGGCAGCAGUGGGGAAUUUUGGACAAUGGGCGCAAGCCUGAUCCAGCCAUGCCGCGUGUCUGAAGAAGGCCUUCGGGUUGUAAAGGACUUUUGUUAGGGAAGAAAAGGAUAGUGUUAAUACCAUUAUCUGCUGACGGUACCUAAAAAAUAAGCACCGGCCAACUACGUG